RNAcentral lists this ribosomal RNA (253 nucleotides) under uncultured bacterium. Its description in RNAcentral is "partial 16S ribosomal RNA". It matches the Rfam family "Bacterial small subunit ribosomal RNA", at positions 524 to 776 of the family's 1533-position model. The record is from RNAcentral.
GACGAAGGGGGCUAGCGUUGUUCGGAAUCACUGGGCGUAAAGGGUGCGUAGGCGGGUCUUUAAGUCAGGGGUGAAAUCCUGGAGCUCAACUCCAGAACUGCCUUUGAUACUGAAGAUCUUGAGUUCGGGAGAGGUGAGUGGAACUGCGAGUGUAGAGGUGAAAUUCGUAGAUAUUCGCAAGAACACCAGUGGCGAAGGCGGCUCACUGGCCCGAUACUGACGCUGAGGCACGAAAGCGUGGGGAGCAAACAGG